UUAUGCCGUCAUAUAGUUAUUUA
This 23-nucleotide non-coding RNA is filed under the name Arabidopsis thaliana (thale cress). Lineage: Eukaryota; Viridiplantae; Streptophyta; Magnoliopsida; Brassicales; Brassicaceae. The record is from RNAcentral.